Molecule: ribosomal RNA, 452 nt
Filed under: Lactiplantibacillus plantarum
Lineage: Bacteria; Bacillati; Bacillota; Bacilli; Lactobacillales; Lactobacillaceae
Description: bacterial SSU rRNA
Rfam family: Bacterial small subunit ribosomal RNA
Source: RNAcentral
UUGAAAGAUGGCUUCGGCUAUCACUUUUGGAUGGUCCCGCGGCGUAUUAGCUAGAUGGUGGGGUAACGGCUCACCAUGGCAAUGAUACGUAGCCGACCUGAGAGGGUAAUCGGCCACAUUGGGACUGAGACACGGCCCAAACUCCUACGGGAGGCAGCAGUAGGGAAUCUUCCACAAUGGACGAAAGUCUGAUGGAGCAACGCCGCGUGAGUGAAGAAGGGUUUCGGCUCGUAAAACUCUGUUGUUAAAGAAGAACAUAUCUGAGAGUAACUGUUCAGGUAUUGACGGUAUUUAACCAGAAAGCCACGGCUAACUACGUGCCAGCAGCCGCGGUAAUACGUAGGUGGCAAGCGUUGUCCGGAUUUAUUGGGCGUAAAGCGAGCGCAGGCGGUUUUUUAAGUCUGAUGUGAAAGCCUUCGGCUCAACCGAAGAAGUGCAUCGGAAACUGGGAA